Molecule: ribosomal RNA, 168 nt
Filed under: uncultured bacterium
Lineage: Bacteria
Description: partial 16S ribosomal RNA
Rfam family: Bacterial small subunit ribosomal RNA
Source: RNAcentral
CAUGAAGCUGGAAUUGCUAGUAAUCACAGGUCAGCAUACUGUGGUGAAUACGUUCCCGGGCCUUGUACACACCGCCCGUCACACCAUGAGAGUUGAGAAUACCCGAAGCCCAUGUCAAAGUGGUCGAAGGUAGGCUUGAUGAUUGGGGUGAAGUCGUAACAAGGUACC